UAUUGCACAAUGGGGGAAACCCUGAUGCAGCGACGCCGCGUGAGUGAUGAAGUAUUUCGGUAUGUAAAGCUCUAUCAGCAGGGCAGAAAAUGACGGUACCUGACUAAGAAGCACCGGCUAAAUACGUGCCAGCAGCCGCGGUAAUACGUAUGGUGCAAGCGUUAUCCGGAUUUACUGGGUGUAAAGGGAGCGUAGACGGAGAGGCAAGUCUGAUGUGAAAACCCGGGGCUCAACCCCGGGACUGCAUUGGAAACUGUGCUGCUGGAGUGCAGGAGAGGUAAGUGGAAUUCCUAGUGUAGCGGUGAAAUGCGUAGAUAUUAGGAGGAACACCAGUGGCGAAGGCGGCUUGCUGGACGAUGACUGACGUUGAGGCUCGAAAGCGUGGGGAGCAAACAG
Molecule: ribosomal RNA, 396 nt
Filed under: uncultured bacterium
Lineage: Bacteria
Description: bacterial SSU rRNA
Rfam family: Bacterial small subunit ribosomal RNA
Source: RNAcentral